UGGGGAAUAUUGGACAAUGGGGGAAACCCUGAUCCAGCAAUGCCGCGUGUGUGAAGAAGGCCUGCGGGUUGUAAAGCACUUUCAGAAGAGAAGAAAAGCGCAGCGAUAAUACCGUUGUGUCCUGACGUAACCUUCAGAAGAAGCACCGGCUAACUCCGUGCCAGCAGCCGCGGUAAUACGGGGGGGGUAAGCGUUGUUCGGAAUUACUGGGCGUAAAGGGCUCGUAGGCGGCCAACUAAGUCAGACGUGAAAUCCCUCAGCUUAACUGGGGAACUGCGUCUGAUACUGGAUGGCUUGGAUCCGGGAGAGGGAUGCGGAAUUCCAGGUGUAGCGGUGAAAUGCGUAGAUAUCUGGAGGAACACCGGUGGCGAAGGCGGCAUCCUGGACCGGUAUUGACGCUGAGGAGCGAAAGCCAGGGGAGCAAA
Molecule: ribosomal RNA, 425 nt
Filed under: uncultured bacterium
Lineage: Bacteria
Description: bacterial SSU rRNA
Rfam family: Bacterial small subunit ribosomal RNA
Source: RNAcentral